GAAAGCUUUGGAACAGAUUCUGUGCUAUUUGAAAGGAGCUGCAAUAUAGCAAUCAUGAACAUUCAAAUACUGAAUGCUUUUUAGAUGCAGACUGGGUAGGUUCAAAGGUUGAUAGGAGGUCAAUGACAGGAUAUUGCGCUUUUUUUGGACGAAAUUUGCGUCAUGAAGCAGUAAGAAACAAAAUAUGAUUUCUCACUCUAGUGCUAAAUCAGAAUAUUGAGCUAUGGCACAAUCUGUGUGUGAAGUAAUAUGGGUACAAUAGUUAAAAGAUGAGGUUAGCUUUAAAACCUCAUUGCUUGCUAAAUUGUGGUAUGAUAAUCAAGUUGUACUUCAUAUUGCUUCUAACCCAGUGUUUUAUAAGCAAAACAAACAUAUCAAUAUUGUAUUGAUUGUCACUUCGUUCGCAAAAAGAUUCAACAUAUCAAUAUUGUAUUGAUUGUCACUUCGUUCGCAAAAAGAUUC
This 462-nucleotide unclassified non-coding RNA is filed under the name Hevea brasiliensis (rubber tree). The record is from RNAcentral. Lineage: Eukaryota; Viridiplantae; Streptophyta; Magnoliopsida; Malpighiales; Euphorbiaceae.